UUGCGGAAGAUGCGGUUAACGGAGCGAAAGCGACGUUCAACCUCAGAAGAAGCAGAGGGGGCUUAGUGGUGGGGUGACUGCGUACCUUUUGUAUAAUGGGUCAGCGACUUAUAUUCUGUAGCAAGGUUAACCGCAUAGGGGAGCCGAAGGGAAACCGAGUCUUAACCGGGCGUUAAGUUGCAGGGUAUAGACCCGAAACCCGGUGAUCUAGCCAUGGGCAGGUUGAAGGUUGGGUAACACUAACUGGAGGACCGAACCGACUAAUGUUGAAAAAUUAGCGGAUGACCUGUGGCUGGGGGUGAAAGGCCAAUCAAACCGGGAGAUAGCUGGUUCUCCCCGAAAGCUAUUUAGGUAGCGCCUCGUGAACUCAUCUCCGGGGGUAGAGCACUGUUUCGGCUAGGGGGCCAUCCCGGCUUACCAACCCGAUGCAAACUGCGAAUACCGGAGAAUGUUAUCACGGGAGACACACGGCGGGUGCUAACGUCCGUCGUGAAGAGGGAAACAACCCAGACCGCCAGCUAAGGUCCCAAAGUCAUGGUUAAGUGGGAAACGAUGUGGGAAGGCCCAGACAGCCAGGAUGUUGGCUUAGAAGCAGCCAUCAUUUAAAGAAAGCGUAAUAGCUCACUGGUCGAGUCGGCCUGCGCGGAAGAUGUAACGGGGCUAAACCAUGCACCGAAGCUGCGGCAGCGAACGUAUCACUUAAAACGAUUCAGAAGCUUACGAUUGACGGAGCGAAGCGACGUCAAAGCGUAUACAAAGUCGAGUCGGUUUAAGGAUACGUUCGUUGGGUAGGGGAGCGUUCUGUAAGCCGUUGAAGGUGUCCUGUGAGGGGUGCUGGAGGUAUCAGAAGUGCGAAUGCUGACAUAAGUAACGAUAAAGCGGGUGAAAAGCCCGCUCGCCGGAAGACCAAGGGUUCCUGUCCAACGUUAAUCGGGGCAGGGUGAGUCGACCCCUAAGGCGAGGCCGAAAGGCGUAGUCGAUGGGAAACGGGUUAAUAUUCCCGUACUUGGUGUUACUGCGAAGGGGGGACGGAGAAGGCUAUGUUGGCCGGGCGACGGUAGUCCCGGUUUAAGCGUGUAGGUGUGUGUUCCAGGCAAAUCCGGUUCACUUUAACACUGAGGCGUGACGACGAGGCACCACGGUGCUGAAGCAACAAAUGCCCUGCUUCCAGGAAAAGCCUCUAAGCAUCAGGUAACAUCAAAUCGUACCCCAAACCGACACAGGUGGUCAGGUAGAGAAUACCAAGGCGCUUGAGAGAACUCGGGUGAAGGAACUAGGCAAAAUGGUGCCGUAACUUCGGGAGAAGGCACGCUGACACGUAGGUGAAGUGAUUUACUCAUGGAGCUGAAGUCAGUCGAAGAUACCAGCUGGCUGCAACUGUUUAUUAAAAACACAGCACUGUGCAAACACGAAAGUGGACGUAUACGGUGUGACGCCUGCCCGGUGCCGGAAGGUUAAUUGAUGGGGUCAGCGCAAGCGAAGCUCCUGAUCGAAGCCCCGGUAAACGGCGGCCGUAACUAUAACGGUCCUAAGGUAGCGAAAUUCCUUGUCGGGUAAGUUCCGACCUGCACGAAUGGCGUAAUGAUGGCCAGGCUGUCUCCACCCGAGACUCAGUGAAAUUGAACUCGCUGUGAAGAUGCAGUGUACCCGCGGCAAGACGGAAAGACCCCGUGAACCUUUACUAUAGCUUGACACUGAACAUUGAGCCUUGAUGUGUAGGAUAGGUGGGAGGCUUUGAAGCGUGGACGCCAGUCUGCGUGGAGCCGACCUUGAAAUACCACCCUUUAAUGUUUGAUGUUCUAACGUGGACCCGUAAUCCGGGUUGCGGACAGUGUCUGGUGGGUAGUUUGACUGGGGCGGUCUCCUCCUAAAGAGUAACGGAGGAGCACGAAGGUUGGCUAAUCCUGGUCGGACAUCAGGAGGUUAGUGCAAUGGCAUAAGCCAGCUUGACUGCGAGCGUGACGGCGCGAGCAGGUGCGAAAGCAGGUCAUAGUGAUCCGGUGGUUCUGAAUGGAAGGGCCAUCGCUCAACGGAUAAAAGGUACUCCGGGGAUAACAGGCUGAUACCGCCCAAGAGUUCAUAUCGACGGCGGUGUUUGGCACCUCGAUGUCGGCUCAUCACAUCCUGGGGCUGAAGUAGGUCCCAAGGGUAUGGCUGUUCGCCAUUUAAAGUGGUACGCGAGCUGGGUUUAGAACGUCGUGAGACAGUUCGGUCC
Molecule: ribosomal RNA, 2215 nt
Filed under: Salmonella enterica subsp. diarizonae
Lineage: Bacteria; Pseudomonadati; Pseudomonadota; Gammaproteobacteria; Enterobacterales; Enterobacteriaceae
Description: partial 23S ribosomal RNA
Rfam family: Bacterial large subunit ribosomal RNA
Source: RNAcentral